This 1179-nucleotide long non-coding RNA is filed under the name Selaginella moellendorffii. RNAcentral's name for it is "long non-coding RNA (SMOE_LNC000165)". Lineage: Eukaryota; Viridiplantae; Streptophyta; Lycopodiopsida; Selaginellales; Selaginellaceae. The record is from RNAcentral.
CUUGAACGUCCAGGCUUGCCAUCGGGAAGUACGCAGAACUCUUCCGUUGGUGCGGCUUUUGAGGAGUCCAAACAGAGGCUCCAUAAUCUAGAUGCUUUGGAAGGAGAAGGCGUGACGACCUCUCUAGAUCUCGAGGAGCUACAAAUUGACGGUCACCGUCGUCAGGGUAAAGCUCCACAGUUUUACAAGGUUUGUGCUUGCUUUUUUUCUUUCUUUAUUUCCAUGUGUUUGUAUCUCUGGUUGCAGCCGAAGGAGAACCGUUUCAGGGAGUCCAGACACGUCAUUCCCAUGCACAGACGUGAUCUUCUUUACCGACUGGAUCUGCAGAAUUUCACUCGUGAGCUUUUCUGCCUCUACGACGAGCUUUUCUGCCUCUACGACGAACCGAAGAAGGGGAGGUCCGGAGAAGGAAGUCGAAGCUUGAGUCCCUUUUCGAGAGAGAGCUCCCGGGAACACGGCUCUUUCUUUGCGGAUCGUGUGUUAAUGCUUUUGGAGUUUGUAACAGUGACAUCGAUGUUUGCCUCUCCGUUGAUCAGGAAGAACAGAACAAGAUCGAGCUGCUUGUUCAAAUGGCAACUAUCCUCGAGUCAGAUGCCAUGUUAAACGUACAGGAGGCGUACGACUCAACGUGACUCAUGGUACCCAUAGUUUCUUAUCCGAAUUUUUAGCCAUCCUCGGAGAAAACUUUCCUUUCAUUGUUCUUGGCAACAAGGUCGAUGUCGAUGGAGGGAACAGUAGAGUGGUGAGCUCUUUUGUUUCAUCUCUCGCCUCACUUUAAAGCUUGUGUGUUUAGGUUUCCGAGGAGAAAGCCAAGGUCUGGUGUGCUUCCAAGGGAAACAUUCCAUACUUUGAGGCGUCUGCCAAGGAAGACUACAACGUGGAGGCUGCGUUUCAAUGCAUUGCCAAGAAUGCCUUGAGGAGCGAACCCAAGGAACACUUGUAAGUUUUGCUUGUUUCUUCUUGUGAUGUUUCAAUCUCACAUUUAACUUCUGGCAGCUAUCUUCCAGAGACGAUCGACAUUACAAAUAACAAUUGAUCUACUACUACUGUCCCUCUAUCGAUAAGUGUUUUCGCUUUCAAUUUAUAUGGUUUUUUUCUUUCUUUUUCUUGUCACUCUCUCCUUUCGCUCGUUGGCCUUGGAUUUUUUAACUUCUCAAAUACGUUUUUUUUUUUUUGCUA